RNAcentral lists this ribosomal RNA (324 nucleotides) under uncultured bacterium. RNAcentral's name for it is "bacterial SSU rRNA". It matches the Rfam family "Bacterial small subunit ribosomal RNA", at positions 29 to 343 of the family's 1533-position model. The record is from RNAcentral.
AAUGAACGCUGGCGGCGCGCCUAAUACAUGCAAGUCGAGCGAGAAGACGUAGCAAUACGUUUGUAAAGCGGCGAACGGGUGAGGAAUACAUGGGUAACCUACCCUUGAGUGGGGAAUAACUAGCCGAAAGGUUAGCUAAUACCGCGUACGCUUCCUGGACUUCGGUUCAGGGAGGAAAGCGAUGCCGAGGGUAUCGCGCUCUUGGAUGGGCUCAUGUCCUAUCAGCUUGUUGGNGAGGUAACGGCUCACCAAGGCUUCGACGGGUAGCUGGUCUGAGAGGACGAUCAGCCACACUGGCACUGCGACACGGGCCAGACCCCUACC